Long non-coding RNA from Homo sapiens (human), 1817 nucleotides. NCBI's taxonomy places the organism in Eukaryota, Metazoa, Chordata, Mammalia, Primates, Hominidae. The record is from Ensembl.
AGACAGGUGCUUGGAGGGGUUGUAUCGGACCUAAGAGUAGAGGUUGAUUCCACUCUCCCACCACGCACUUUUCGUAUCAUCCUAGAUCUGGAUGCCCUUCAUGGAACCUAAAAACCAGCGAGUCCCGGAAAGGCCUCAGGCAAUUGCCAAGCCGAUGGCCUUCUGCCACUUAGUUAAUGUGCACCUGGCAGCUUAGGUGGCCGCGGAGAAAGCAACUUUGGCUGCACCAAGGUCCGGCACAAGUCUGGAGAAGCUUCAGCCAGUUCCAGUGAGUUGGGAUAAAUGAAACGUGGAUCUACCAUAGACGUCUGUCCGUCUUACUGGAUAAGCGAGCACCUUUACCGGGGAAGUUAGAUGGCUGGAGUCAGCUGGCAAAUACAGAAGCAGGAAACAUUACACUGAAGCUCAGAAAAUAAUAUCCCCAAAUGAAGGCAUCAGAAAUAAAAGUUCUUCUCUGACCUUCUUUCUCUCAAGACAUUGUAUUAUGAAAAAUUUCCAGCAUACAGAAAAGUUGAAGAACACCCACAUGCCUGCUACUCAGAUUCUACAAUAAACAUUUGCUAUAUUUGUUUUACCUACAUAUCUAGUCAUCCAUCCAUCCAUUCAUAUUAUUUUUAAUGCACGUCUUAUUUUUUAAUGCACUGUCAACUACAGACAUCAGUACUCUUCACCUCCAAACAUUUCAGCAACAUAUCAUUAACGAUAGUCAAAAAUUUGUUUAGAGUUCCUUUUGUUUUAAAUAAAAUUUAUAAAGAAUGAAAUGUGUAAUUCUUAAGUGUACUAUUCUUUGAGUUUUCACAAAUGCAUAGACCUAUGUAACCUAAAGUCCUAUGAAGAUGUAGAAUAUCCCAUCCCCCUAGGAAGUUCCCUCAUGGCCCUUCCAAAUAAUCUCUGCUUACUCUGGUUUUCAAGUAACCACUGUUUUGCCUUUUAACAAACUAUAGAUUUGUUUUGCCUUCUAUAGCUUCAUAUAAAAGAAAUUAAAUCGUAUAGUAAGUACUCUCUUGAGUCUGGUUGUUUCAUUCAACAUCAUGCUUUUGAGAUUCACCCAUGUUGUUGUUGUUGUUGUGUAUCAGUAAUUCACACAUUUUCAUUAGAAGUCUUUGGUCCAACAUUAAUCAAGAAAGACUCAAGGCAGGACCAGAAGCAGCUUGCAGCCAGCUAGGCCACAGGAGUAUGCUCUCUUGCAUCUCUCAUAUGUUGGAGGCCAGCAGCCAUGUCAUAAGGACACCAAGCAGCUACAUGGAGAGGACUAGGUGGCAAAAGUCUGAGGCCUUCUGCAAACAGCCAUAUGAGCAAGCCCUUUGGAAGAAGAGUCUGUAAUCCCAGUCAAACCUUCGGAUGACUGAAGUCCUAUCCUACAUGACUGCAACAGCAAGAGAACCUGAGCCAGUGUUCCAUGGUAUAGAAGUAGUAGCCAGCAUUGCACGGUGUGGAUAUACCACAACUUAUUUAUCCAUUUGCUAGUCAAUAGACUCCUGGGAUAUUCUCAGUUUGUGGCAUGAUAUGGUUUGGAUCUGUUCCCUGGCCUGGAUCUCAUGUCAAAUUGUAAUCCCCAGUGUUGGGGGUGAGGGCUGGUGGGAGGUGAUUGAAUCAUAGGGGCAGAUUUCCCACUUGGUGCUGUUCCAUUGCGAGUGAGUGAGUUCUCAUGAGAUCUGGUCACUUAAAAGUGUGUGGCACCUCCCCCUACUCUCUCUUGGUCUUGUUCCUGCCAUGUAAGAUGACUGUUCAGGCUUUGCCUUCUGCCAUGAGUAAAAGCUCCCUGAGGCCUCCCCAGAAGUAGAUGCCACCAUGCUUCCUGUAUAUAUUGUAGAGCA